RNAcentral lists this long non-coding RNA (1659 nucleotides) under Homo sapiens (human). RNAcentral's name for it is "HSALNT0397826". The record is from RNAcentral. Lineage: Eukaryota; Metazoa; Chordata; Mammalia; Primates; Hominidae.
CCCCAAACUGGAACUGCCGGGACGACGACUGCCAACCGGCCACACGACCCAGGCAGAGACGCGGGGACACGCUGACCAGAAGAAAGGCCGACGUGCAAGAAACCCACCCUCCGGCGCACAGGGCACAUGUGUCCCAAGGCGCACGCACACACAGACGGACAGAGACAGACAGAGAGGGCGACGGAAACAGCGAGAAGGGAGAGAGAGAGAGAGAGAGAGAGAGAGAGAGAGAGAGAGAGAGAGAGAGAGACGUGAGAGAGAGACAGAAGUCGGCACACAGACACGCACUGCGCGCGCACACACACAGACACACACACAGACGCAUCCCCCCAACACACACACACACACACCCAUAACGAACACACACGUACAGCAGGGAACACCCACCCGCAGGCAGCCCCUGAAGCUGCCGGGUUCUGCUCUCCGAGACUAAGAGCCACCGGUGAGAGAGCAGCCCACGGGCACACAGGCGGACCUGUGCUCGUCAUCACAAGGGCUCCACUUUUGGGGAGACUCACCCGCACACCGUCCGCGCACGCCUGAGGCUGGGAUCCCGCGCUGCCUCGCCGGCGAUCUGUCUGAGGUUUCUUCCUCUUGGGGUUUCUUCCUGCUGGUGGACCCUCCGCGAAUCCCGGCCUCCGGAGACCGUCCUGGUAACUGCCCUGGCCAGGACUGGUCUCAGCCCAGACUCAGACGCACGAUCACACAGGGCUCCUACUUCGCCAAGUGUCAGGGACCCAUCCCCGGGCAACGGUGGCUUUCACUGUGACCCAAGCGGCGGCUUGGGCCUCGCGCAUGCGCACUGGCGAGGCCGACUCCCCCGCUCCACCCCCCCUUACUCCGCAGAGUCAGGCUGCGGACCCUUUAAAAAAUGGCGGCGACGCGGCGGCUGCGGGGCCUGGGGCGGCGGUGCUGGAGGUUGCGGCGGCGGCGGUGGCGGCGCAGCCCGAGGCGGCGGGUGGGAAGAGGACUGCCAGAGGGGCCUGCGGGAGACCCAGGGUCGGACCCAUAGGAGUCCUGUGGUGAGGACCUCCUUGAUCGCUCUUCUGCUUCGGUUCCCGCGAAAGGAGGAGCUUCGGGAUGCCGGCUGGGCUGCGCGGACUCCUCUUGGGGUCCGAUGAUGGAUCCAACCGGGUGAUCGGGAAUGGGGUUCCAAUGCAGUGAGGCCGAAAGGGUCUCGCCGGGGCACAGAAAGAUCCCCAGGGCGCAAGGCGUGCUGUCGGCUGCAAAGGCACCGACCCAUGAGCCCACUGCCUCCCUCCCUCCUGGCAGGAGCAGGGGCCUGCCUUCAUCUCCAAGGCCCGAGGGCUCCAGCAUCCCGACGCGGCUUCCGGCGACACGGGCAAAGAGAGACAGAGGCGAGUCCGAGCUGGUGCCAGCGUGUCCACAUGUGGCACUGUCGUCCCCCAAGAGCACAUGCAGGCAGCGUGUGUCUUUGAGGCCGUAGGGGGCGACGACGAGACGGACAGUGAUGUCCAGGCGUGCGCCCGGGGGGCCACUGGAGACCUGCCCCACAAAGCGGAGGAAAAGCCAAGCGCACCUGAAAACCUGCGAGACAGGGCCUGUGCGCGAGUCCACGCCACGUUCAGGGAGGCCCGCCAGAGGAGCCGAGAGGUUUGGACAAAGUACACCCCACCCCCAGCCCGCCGCCGGCUAGGU